Molecule: ribosomal RNA, 253 nt
Filed under: uncultured bacterium
Lineage: Bacteria
Description: partial 16S ribosomal RNA
Rfam family: Bacterial small subunit ribosomal RNA
Source: RNAcentral
UACGGGGGGGGCAAGCGUUGUUCGGAAUUACUGGGCGUAAAGGGCGCGUAGGCGGUUUGUUAAGUUAGAUGUGAAAACUCCGGGCUUAACCCGGAGCCUGCAUCUAAAACUGACAGGCUAGAGUUCUGGAGGGGAUAGCGGAAUUCCUGGUGUAGCGGUGAAAUGCGUAGAUAUCAGGAGGAACACCGGUGGCGAAGGCGGCUAUCUGGACAGAAACUGACGCUGAGGCGCGAAAGCUAGGGGAGCAAACAGG